RNAcentral lists this long non-coding RNA (784 nucleotides) under Rattus norvegicus (Norway rat). Its description in RNAcentral is "long non-coding RNA NONRATT019462". The record is from RNAcentral. Lineage: Eukaryota; Metazoa; Chordata; Mammalia; Rodentia; Muridae.
CCGGCCGCGCCCCCAGGCGCAACCCCCUUCACGACGCGCGCCCCGACGGGCCGCGCGCUCGCCCACCGGCCGGCGCCAAGGUCUCCUCCUGCCUUCGGCGGAAGGAUGCCGGACCGGGCCUCCCAGGCUCCUCCCGGGCCUACCUGCGAGGCGAGUGAGAGCUUGGCCGGAAGGCCAACGAGCGCACGGAGCCACGGACGGAAGGCGGGGAGAGGCUGAAGGAAGCGAGGGGCCCGCUCGACCGACCAGCGGAAGAAAGCGGCCAGAGCCCGGGGUCUCCCGGAUAACUCAGUCCAGGACCUGGCACCGCCGCCGCCGCUCUGGAGACAUCAACCUAGAAGACGCUGCAAAAGAUCAUCGAACACACGAACGCCCAGACAUCAAAGGAAGAGCGCCCAAGCAAUCGUUCAAGGAACUGCAGCCGAGUGCCGAAACAUUGCUCAGCUCCUGCUGCAAGUCCCGCUGCCUUCCUAGGCAUAAAUAAACAAAUUCAGAUCAUAAGCUAAAGCAUAGAGUAGGCUGGGUUUCUGCCAUUUUCUCUUGGUGACCGAGUGUUGAAGUAAUUUAGAGAACUAAAUUUCGGAGACAGCAAGCACGGUUGUAAUCCCAGGAAUUUAGGAAGAGGAGGCAUUUGGAGGAUAUGGAGUUCAAAGUCAUACUCAGUUAAGAGCAAGGCCAACCUGGACUAUAUGAGACCUUGUCUUAAGUGAAAAAGGAAUUAGUCUUUUGUGAACACGUUGAUUGAAGAUAAAUCAUACUAGAAUAAAGCUCUCCUUAAUAGUUC